Lytechinus pictus (painted urchin) is the source of this 4009-nucleotide long non-coding RNA. RefSeq lists it as uncharacterized. The record is from RefSeq and is a predicted model, not a curated record. The transcript has 3 exons. NCBI's taxonomy places the organism in Eukaryota, Metazoa, Echinodermata, Echinoidea, Temnopleuroida, Toxopneustidae.
CCGUUCGGUGCCACUGCUCCGUAUCUGGCGCAUGCGUAGUUCUAUAGUUUGGCGUUGCCAGUGAAGAGGAAAGAUGGAGAACUACACGCUCGAAAACCGCCUCGGAAAAGGAGCACAAGGACAAGUUUUCUUGGCAAAGGACAAGUCUGAUAACAACAAAAAAUAUGUGUUGAAAAAGGUUGAAUGUAAUGAUGAGACUGAAGCCACCAAAGCUUUCAAGGAGGUAAGAUUUUUUUGAAUGUUUGCUUUUUAAAGGUCAAUCAUUUUUUUUUUUUUUGGGGGGGGGGGGGCAAGGAGGCAUGUGCUCCCCUUUUUGUCUCACCUGCAUAGCAGAGUGAGACUAUAGGCGCCGCUUUUCCGGCGGCGGCGGCGUCAACACCAAAUCUUAACCGAAGGUUAAGUUUUUGAAAUGACAGCAUAACUUAGAAAGUAUAUGGACUUAGUUCAUGAAACUUGGCCAUAAGGUCAAUCAAGUAUUACUGAGCAUCCUGCCUGAGUUUCAUGUCACAUGACUAAGGUCAAAGGUCAUUUAGGGUCAAUGAACUUAGACCAUGUUGGGGGAAUCAACAUCAAAAUCUUAACCUUAGGUUAAGUUUUUGAAAUGUCAUCAUAACUUAGAAAAUAUAUGGACCUAGUUUAUGAAACUUGGACAUAAGGUUAAUCAAGUAUUACUAAACAUCCUGCAUGAGUUUCAUGUCACAUGACCAAGGUCAAAGGUCAUUAAGGGUCAAUGAACUUAGACCAUGUUGGGGGAAUCGACAUCAAAAUCUGAACCUAAGGUUAAGUUUUUGAAAUGUCAUCAUAACUUAGAAAAUAUAUGGACCUAGUUUAUGAAACUUGGACAUAAGGUUAAUCAAGUAUUACUGAACAUCCUUCAUGAGUUUCACGUCACAUGACCAAGGUCAAAGGUCAUUUAGGGUCAAUGAACUUUGGCCAAAUUGGGGGUAUCUGUUGAAUUACCAUCAUAACUUUGAAAGUUUAUGGAACUGAUUCAUGAAACUUGGACAUAAUAGUAGUCAAGUAUCACUGAACAUCCUGUGCAAGUUUCAGGUCACAUGAUUAAGGUCAACGGUCAUUUAGGGUCAAUGAACUUAGGCCAAAUUGGGGGUAUUUGUUGAAUUACCAUCAUAACUUUGAAAGUAUAUUGGUCUAGUUCAUAAAACUUGGACAUAAGAGUAAUCAAGUAUCACUGAACAUCCUGUGUGCAUUUCAGGUCACAUGACCAAGGUCAAAGGUCAAUGAACUUUGGCCGUAAUGGGGGUAUCUGUUGCAUUACCAUCAUAACUUUGAAAGUUUAUGGAUCUGACUCAUGAAACUUGGACAUAAGAGUAAUCAAGUAUCACUGAACAUCCUGUGCGAGUUUCAGGUCACAUGACCAAGGUCAAAGGUCAAUGGAUAUUGGCCAUGUUGGGGGUAUUUGUUGAAUUACCAUCAUAACUCUGUAAGUAUAUUGGUCUAGUUCAUAAAACUUGGACAUAAGAGUCGUCAAGUAUCACUGAACAUCUCAUGCGAGUUUCAGGUCACAUGACCAAAGUCAAAGGUCAUUUAAGGUCAUUGAACUUUGGCCAUUUUAGAGGUACAUGUAGUUAUUAGAUUGCUGUCAUAACUUUCAAAGGUUAUAUAUAUAUAUAGUGUAUAAAAUGUGGAUAUAGGGGUAAUCAAGUAACACUGACAAGUCCAAUGUCAAUGAACGUACAGUAUUGUAUCAUUAUAUGAAUGGUGUUUUUUGUGAAUAAUUAGUUAAAUGGUGUUUUUCAAAGUCAGCACUGCUGCUAUAUUGCAUCGCGUGAUGCAGGUGAGACCGCGAGAGGCAUUCCACUUGUUUAAUUUAUGCAAGAUUUUAUGGAACUUGUUUUUAAAUUGUAAUUGAUUUAAUUUGUAUGUUUUUGCUUGUCAAACAUUGCACUGUAAAAUACUCCCCCUGAUUGGUGGUGAUGAUAUUGUAACAAAAUUUGGGGUUCAAAAUUAAACAUAUUCAAGCAGAAAUGGCUCUGCUUAAUUAUAAAAUAAGUAUGAACAUCGUUUUAGAAUAUAAAGGUGGUUGUAAUACUGAGCAACCCCUGUUCAGUAAUAUUUUUUCACACAUGACGAAAACCUCCAUUUGAGAACGCUAUACCCCAGUUUCCCUUCUAAUCAAUUCUCUUCUCCAAGUACGACAAACCCUAACUGCCCCAAGCAAGCAAUUUAAGUAUCAAAACACCUGUUUCUUGACGUCGGUCCGAAGAUAACACAACAGCCCGGCAUAUACAGUCACAGCAGGGGGCCACACACGAUGGGAUGCAUGCGCAGCGCUGAGCGCGGUCCCUGCAAAGCAUGCCGUCAUUUUUAUUCGCUUACUUAUUUCGAGGUCGAUUUUCUUCGUUCGAAAUUGAAAAUGGACUAACAUUGGAUUACUGAAUACAAUAUGCCUUUGAAAACGUGAUUAAAUAUCGAAUACAAUAAUUUCAUUCCGAAGGUCCUACUACAGGCAGAGAAGUCUUACGUAAUAGCACAGCUGUUGUUUAUCUUUUCGUCCUUUACUCAACGCUCAUAUACUAGCCUGUGGAGGUGAAAUUGAGACAGGGGGGAUUACCCCGGGAUUACCUGGCCAAGCACGGUUGAUAAGGGCUUGGAAAUGAUUUUUGGGAGAUCCAAAUGAAAAAUGGGGUAUAAUACCGCAGUUUGCAAUCUGAACUGCGGUCUUUCUCCAAACGGGGGUUUGACGUAAUGUUUUAUGGUUGUCUUUUCAUCCAACUUGGUAUCCAACUUUGGGAUAAUGAGGUCAAAGGUCACGAAGGGCAUUAUUUGAAAUGAGAAUUCCUGCUCUAACCUGGUAAUCAUGAGAUACAUGUAGAUAAUAAGUUCAAAAUAUUAAUCCUGAUUGCCUAGUAUGAGUGCAAGAAAUGUAGUAUAUGCUUUUCACACUGCACUUUUUUUUCCUUAACACUGGGAAAUUAGUGGGGUUAAAGGGGGGUCUUAGCCCCACCAAUUUCCUGGGGCUAAGCUUGGCCCACUUCGUUUUCACACUACGUUUAAGCAAGGUUGGCUAGCAUGGUAAAUGGUGCAGUACUAUCUGGCCCUGCAAAAAAGCAGGGUUAGCCGGCCUAUUUUGGUGCUAGCACCACAAUUGCGGUGCUAAGAGAUGCAGUGAACAAAACUGGGCUAAGGAAAAGUGGGGCUAAGCAUUGGCCAAUCACAGAAGUCCAAAUUGCCUGUUAAUCGCGCUCUGUAUGGUAAAAUCAUUUAAAAAUAUUCAUGAGCUGUGUGAUGGUCCGAGGUGAAAGCGGUAACCCUGGCUAUUAGUAAAUAGUAUGGCCCGUAUUCUGGUUUAACUUAGACUCAGGUUUAAAGUUGUGGUUUAAGUAUGGGAAGCCAAAAGUAUCAUUUUUUUAUUAAGUUGUACGUUUCUUAUGUUUACUGUAAUGUUGUAACCCGCAAGUGAAAACCCGAACCGUACCGUCCCGUAUAAUCCAAUAAUUUGCAAGCGGGACCCGCUGACCCGUCGGGUUUUAACCCGCAAGUAAAUUUAUCUUUGAAAAAUAAAAAAAAAUUCUGCAAUCCCCACACUACCGUAUACAAAUCACGAAAAUAUAUGCCAACUACUAACCUAGCCUAGAGUGAAUUUACUUACAAUUUGCAAAUUCGCCUUUUAUUCCGGAGAGAAAAUGUUUUUGGGGGUUACUUUGUACCCGAAAUGGGUCGGCUCUGAUCUCGUAAUCGAAAGCAUUGCGCAAUUAACCCCUCGGAUCGGAGCCGCAGCUCAGCGCGCGCUAGCUACAUGUAGCCCAGGCUGCCCAGCAAAUUCGAUGUUCAGUUUCCCGUCGCCCGCCCGCGUUAUGAAAUUUGGACCGCGUUUAAAAAUCAAAUUCUGAAAAUAAUUCAUUAUUUUACUAUUUUGACAUAGAUCUAGAUUCAGAACUGAUAUAAAACAUUAAUAUAAGCUUUUCAGUCACAAUUACUUGUAUAUCAAUAUCAUGUAAAUACCUGUAAUUCUUUUCUUGUUUUUUUCUUGUGAAUGGAAUGACACUGC